Molecule: small nuclear RNA, 105 nt
Organism: Meriones unguiculatus (Mongolian gerbil)
Lineage: Eukaryota; Metazoa; Chordata; Mammalia; Rodentia; Muridae
Source: Ensembl
GUGCUUGCUUCAGCAGCACAUAUACUAAAUUUGGAAUGAAAGAGAAGAUUAGCAUGGCUCCUGUGCAAGAAUGACACGCAAAUUUGUGAAGUGUUCCAUAUAUUU